This 468-nucleotide ribosomal RNA is filed under the name uncultured bacterium. RNAcentral describes it as "partial 16S ribosomal RNA". It matches the Rfam family "Bacterial small subunit ribosomal RNA", at positions 28 to 507 of the family's 1533-position model. The record is from RNAcentral.
GACGAACGCUGGCGGCGUGCUUAACACAUGCAAGUCGAACGGAAAGGCCCUGCUUUUGUGGGGUGCUCGAGUGGCGAACGGGUGAGUAACAAGUGAGUAACCUGCCCUUGACUUUGGGAUAACUACAGGAAACUGGGGCUAAUACCGGAUAGGAGCUCCGUCUGCAUGGUGGGGGUUGGAAAGUUUCGGCGGUUGGGGAUGGACUCGCGGCUUAUCAGCUUGUUGGUGGGGUAGUGGCUUACCAAGGCUUUGACGGGUAGCCGGUCUGAGAGGGUGACCGGCCACAUUGGGACUGAGAUACGGCCCAGACUGCUACGGGAGGCAGCAGUGGGGAAUAUUGCACAAUGGGCGGAAGCCUGAUGCAGCAACGCCGCGUGCGGGAUGACGGCCUUCGGGUUGUAAACCGCUUUCGCCUGUGACGAAGCGUGAGUGACGGUAAUGGGUAGAGAAGCACCGGCUAACUACGUG